Molecule: transfer RNA, 71 nt
Filed under: Camelus bactrianus (Bactrian camel)
Lineage: Eukaryota; Metazoa; Chordata; Mammalia; Artiodactyla; Camelidae
Also listed under: 2 other names
Rfam family: tRNA
About the family: Transfer RNA (tRNA) molecules are approximately 80 nucleotides in length. Their secondary structure includes four short double-helical elements and three loops (D, anti-codon, and T loops).
Source: Rfam by way of RNAcentral
GAGGGUAUAGCUCGUGGCAGGGUGUGUGCUUAGCAUGCAUGAGGUCCUGGGUUCAAUCCCCAGUACCUCUG